Molecule: long non-coding RNA, 830 nt
Filed under: Lactuca sativa (garden lettuce)
Lineage: Eukaryota; Viridiplantae; Streptophyta; Magnoliopsida; Asterales; Asteraceae
Description: long non-coding RNA (LSAT_LNC000060)
Source: RNAcentral
AAGAGAUGUUACAGCAAGCGAUUGAUGUUCAGCUUCCGAGUUACAUGGACGGGCUGGAUAUCGGGAUGACACCUGGGCGGUCCCCCAUUACUCCUUUCCACGAUGGUGCAAUGUCUCCCACGAAUUAUCUGUUGAGCCCAAAUCUACGGCUGUCUCCGAUUAACGAUGCACAGUUUUCGCCUUAUGUUGGUGGGAUGGGUUUUUCGCCAACUUCAUCACCGGGCUAUAGCCCGUCGUCCCCCGGGUACAGCCCAUCAUCUCCGGGAUACAGCCCCACCUCGCCUGGUUAUAGCCCAACCUCACCGGGCUAUAGCCCUACAUCUCCGGGUUACAGUCCCACCUCUCCAACUUACAGCCCAAGUUCACCCGGUUAUAGCCCAACAAGUCCUACCUACUCACCCACUUCACCUAGCUACUCCCCUACCUCACCAAGCUACUCACCCACAUCACCUAGCUACAGCCCUACAUCGCCAGCUUACAGCCCGACCUCUCCGGCUUACAGCCCGACCUCUCCUUCCUACAGCCCGACAUCACCAUCCUACAGCCCAACCUCACCCUCCUACAGCCCAACCUCACCCUCUUACAGCCCGACCUCUCCUUCCUACAGCCCAACAUCACCAUCCUACAGCCCGACCUCCCCUUCCUACAGCCCAACCUCCCCUGCUUACAGCCCAACUUCACCUGGGUACAGUCCUACUUCCCCAAGCUACAGUCCUACUUCUCCAAGUUACAGUCCCACCUCACCAAGUUACAACCCUUCAUCCGCUAAGUACAGCCCCUCGUUGGCUUAUUCUCCUAGUAGUCCAUACAGCCCUACAUCCCCCAACUAC